RNAcentral lists this non-coding RNA (68 nucleotides) under unclassified sequences. RNAcentral's name for it is "DUF3800-VIII RNA". It matches the Rfam family "DUF3800-VIII RNA". From Rfam's summary of the family: Bacteroidetes, Cyanobacteria, Firmicutes, Planctomycetes (1 example), Proteobacteria, Tenericutes (1 example). Nearby to DUF3800 The record is from RNAcentral.
CGAGCCCUGCGGCAGCCGAACCCUCUAGUUUAUAUUAGGGGCAUUUAUGUAGGCGGUCGCGGGCCUCA